GGAACUGGUUGAAUUGUUUGUACUGGGGAAAUACGUGGGCUGUGUGGUGUUUGGGAGGAGCCACUGAUGAUUUGCAACGGUCAACAGAUGUGAGGCAAGACGAUUGUUGUUGCAGCAUGGUGGCCCACAGCACCCCAGUUCGAUUCCACCCUCGGGCGACUGUCUGUGUGGAGUUUGCACGUUCUCCCCGUGUCUGCGUGAGUUUCCUCUGGGUGCUCCGGUUUCCUCCCACAGUCCAAAAGAUGUGCAGGGUCUCCUCAGCUUUAUGAAUCUAAGAUGAGCGACUCAAACUUCAAUGUAAUUUGCUGGAGGUUUGACUUAUCCUGAUCUGGUGGUCGUAUACUUAUUGGGAAAGCAGGAGGACUGCAGCGGUUCAAGAAGGCAGCUCACCACCACCUUCUCAAGGGGCAACAAGGGAUGAGCAAGAAAUGCUGGCCCAGGCAGCGACGCCCACAUCCCACAAAUGAAUACAUGAAGAAAUCUUAUCUUAAACUGGUCCAUAAGGACUUUCCAGAUCUUUUCUGGAUCUUUUGAUUAGCAUGGAGAGGCCGGAUACAUUAAUCCUGUGAAGAUAUUUGCUUUCUUUUUAAGAAGUAGAAUGUGCUCCAAUAUUUGUUUAUUCCUAUUAUUAGUUAUGCUUCUCUCUUAUUUUUGUUUUCCUGUCUGCUUCUGUUUCCCUGUAUUUUCCUUGUUGCCAUCCUUUUACUCUAUUUGGUCCCUUUCAAUGUGUUGUUUUAAGACUGUUGCCCGAUUAAAGUGGAACGCUUGUAGCUACAGGUCCCAGUGUCUGUAUGGUAUUGUACCAAAUGUGGGGUGAUGGUGUCAUGCAGACUUCCUUC
Long non-coding RNA from Rhincodon typus (whale shark), 839 nucleotides. RefSeq lists it as uncharacterized. The transcript is spliced from 4 exons. Lineage: Eukaryota; Metazoa; Chordata; Chondrichthyes; Orectolobiformes; Rhincodontidae. The record is from RefSeq and is a predicted model, not a curated record.